GCCUCAUUGGUGUAGUGGUAGAGCACGCGUUCCCGGAUGGGAUGAAAAGUGGGUUUAAUUCCCGCCUGAGGUC
This is a non-coding RNA of Parelaphostrongylus tenuis, 73 nucleotides long. Lineage: Eukaryota; Metazoa; Nematoda; Chromadorea; Rhabditida; Metastrongylidae. The record is from the annotation of a GenBank genome assembly.